AUGUUGGAGUCCACAUUAAUAAUUCUAUUAUUAUUAAUAGAACCAAUAUCAGUCCAUUCUAAUUGGCUAAAACACUGAUAAUAAUAUUACAGUGUUUUAUCUUGAUAUAGAUUAUGAAGAAUAGCUAGAUUAUAAAGAAUAGAUAUCCUAUAAUAGAUAAAUAUUAAGUACACGCAGGCACAGACAAUCUAUUCUCUGAUUAAUGACUAGGCUAGAAAUUAAAAGUAAUUCUAUUUAUGUCAGAAUCCUAUGUCACAACAUUUUCAUAUCUUAUCUUAAAAUAGUAAUCACAUUUUCUCAGUUUGUUCCAGUGAGUUCAACGUGAUUACCAUUACCAACAUAUUAGGACAUGAUAGAAUACAUGAGAGAAUACAUGAGAGGAUUUUGAUCCAUAUAUGGUAAACUCAAAAAUGUAGAAAUAUAAAAAAAAAUUUAAACAAAGAAAAUUUGCAAAUAUAAGACAAAAUAAUUUUCUCCUCAUCCAAAGAUGUUUGGUUUUUUAUUCCCAUGCAAUGCACCAACUCAAAAU
This 529-nucleotide long non-coding RNA is filed under the name Marmota monax (woodchuck). Lineage: Eukaryota; Metazoa; Chordata; Mammalia; Rodentia; Sciuridae. The record is from RNAcentral.